Molecule: ribosomal RNA, 792 nt
Filed under: uncultured bacterium
Lineage: Bacteria
Description: bacterial SSU rRNA
Rfam family: Bacterial small subunit ribosomal RNA
Source: RNAcentral
AGAGUUUGAUCAUGGCUCAGGAUGAACGCUAGCGGCAGGCUUAAUACAUGCAAGUCGAGGGGCAGCGGGGUAGCAAUACUGCCGGCGACCGGCAAACGGGUGCGGAACACGUACACAACCUUCCUUUCGGUGGGGGAUAGCCCAGAGAAAUUUGGAUUAAUACCCCAUAAAAUAUUGUGGUUGCAUAACUGUGAUAUUAAAGAUUUAUUGCCGGAAGAUGGGUGUGCGUAUGAUUAGGUAGUUGGUUGAGGUAACGGCUCACCAAGCCUUCGAUCAUUAACUGGUGUGAGAGCACGACCAGUCACACGGGCACUGAGACACGGGCCCGACUCCUACGGGAGGCAGCAGUAAGGAAUAUUGGUCAAUGGACGCAAGUCUGAACCAGCCAUGCCGCGUGAAGGAUGACGGCCCUCUGGGUUGUAAACUUCUUUUAUGGGGGGAGAAAAAAGGUCAUUAUUGGCCGUCUGACGGUACCCUAUGAAUAAGCACCGGCUAACUCCGUGCCAGCAGCCGCGGUAAUACGGAGGGUGCAAGCGUUAUCCGGAUUCACUGGGUUUAAAGGGAGCGCAGGCGGAUUGGUAAGUCAGUGGUGAAAGGCUUGAGCUUAACUCGGGAACUGCCAUUGAUACUAUCAGUCUUGAAUAUUGUUGAGGUUUGCGGAAUGGGUCAUGUAGCGGUGAAAUGCAUAGAUAUGACCCGGAACACCUAUUGCGAAGGCAGCAGGCUAAACAAAGAUUGACGCUGAGGCUCGAAAGCGUGGGGAUCAAACAGGAUUAGAUACCCCAGUAGUCC